ACUACUCCGAUAUUAUUAAUAUUAUCAAAACUGUGAUGUUACUAUAAAUGAUAAUAUUAAACUGAAAAUCUUGGGGUCCGGCCGUGGCAUGUUUGGUGUUUUUAAUUUUGUUUGCGAUUUAGUGAACGAAGUACCUAAUUAAUGUGAAUUUCGAUGUGCUAAUUCCUGAAUAUAAUAUACAGGAUUCAGAUGUUCCGAGUUGCCGUCAUAAAAUUUACUUUGUCCAGGUGAUUACUUGAAUAUUAAGUUUGCAGGUAGCAAGACCGUUUUGUUGAUCCGUUAAAAUGUUUCCAUCGCUCUUACUAAAUGUAUGCCGUUCCUUCAUUAUGUUGCUACUGAGAUGGGAAAAGGUCAUUAACUAGCAAAAAAAAAAUAUCAAAUUAAUGAUUUAUUACAUAUUUGUAUGAAUUAAUGCAUUCAAUUAUAACAAGCAUAAUAUUAUAUACUAAGUUGUUCGAUGGAAUUAUAACAACUACCCAUCAUGACGUAUCACUCGAACUAAUUCCAUUACUUUUGCAAACAAAAUCUGAAAUAAUGGUAAAGAAAAACUCAAAUGUUAAAAAAAAUAAGGGGUCAAAUCUUAUGGCUCAACUAACAAGGAACACAUGUAAUUUUGUUUAGAGGUCUUAGAGAUGCCUGUGUGAGCUAUAGAUUUGUUUCAAAAAACCAAGAAAAAUCUAGAAGAAGGAACCUUCGGAACUCUGAUUCAAAACAUUGGGCCCAUAGUUGUAUGGAUGAUAAUGCAUUAAGACAUAUUUAUCACCAACACCGGCAACUAUUGAAUACAAUUAUUACUAUUGUAAUUUAUUCUAAUCAUAAAUAAAUACUGUUUUAUUUUACUGCAUUGUAUAU
Long non-coding RNA from Acyrthosiphon pisum (pea aphid), 852 nucleotides. RefSeq lists it as uncharacterized. NCBI's taxonomy places the organism in Eukaryota, Metazoa, Arthropoda, Insecta, Hemiptera, Aphididae. The transcript has 6 exons. The record is from RefSeq and is a predicted model, not a curated record.